AGAGUUGAUCAUGGCUCAGGAUGAACGCUAGCGGGAGGCUUAAUACAUGCAAGUCGUACGGUAAUCUGUGCUGCAACAAGAACGAGUGGCGGAUGGGUGAGUAACGCGUACACGAUCUACCCAUAAAUCUGGGAUAGUCACUGGAAACGGUGAAUAAUAUCGGAUGAAUUUGUUAGUUUCAUGGCUUUACAAAUAAAGGCGUGAGCCGUUUAUGGAUGAGUGUGCGUCCUAUUAGUUAGUUGGUGGUGUAACGGACUACCAAGGCGAUAGGGGGUAGUAGGGGGCGUGAGAGCGUGGUCCCCCACACGGGUACUGAGACACGGACCCGACUCCUACGGGAGGCAGCAGUAAGGAAUAUUGGACAAUGGAGGCAACUCUGAUCCAGCCAUCCCGCGUGCAAGGAAGACGGCCUUAUGGGUUGUAAACUGCUUUUAUAAGGGAAGAAUAGCAUCUAUUGAUAGGUGUAUGACUGUACUUUAUGAAUAAGCACCGGCUAACUCCGUGCCAGCCGCUGC
Molecule: ribosomal RNA, 515 nt
Filed under: uncultured bacterium
Lineage: Bacteria
Description: bacterial SSU rRNA
Rfam family: Bacterial small subunit ribosomal RNA
Source: RNAcentral